This 865-nucleotide ribosomal RNA is filed under the name bacterium enrichment culture clone ZZ_H2. RNAcentral describes it as "bacterial SSU rRNA". It matches the Rfam family "Bacterial small subunit ribosomal RNA", at positions 614 to 1482 of the family's 1533-position model. The record is from RNAcentral.
CUCCAAACUGCAUUUGAAACUGCUUUUCUUGAGUAUCGGAGAGGUAAUCGGAAUUCCUUGUGUAGCGGUGAAAUGCGUAGAUAUAAGGAAGAACACCAGUGGCGAAGGCGGAUUACUGGACGACAACUGACGGUGAGGCGCGAAAGCGUGGGGAGCAAACAGGAUCAGAUACCCUGGUAGUCCACGCUGUAAACGAUCAAUACUAGGUGUGCGGGGACUGACCCCCUGCGUGCCGCAGUUAACACAAUAAGUAUUGCACCUGGGGAGUACGAUCGCAAGGUUGAAACUCAAAGGAAUUGACGGGGGCCCGCACAAGCGGUGGAUUAUGUGGUUUAAUUCGAAGCAACGCGAAGAACCUUACCAGGACUUGACAUCCUACUAACGAGGUAGAGAUACGUCAGGUGCCCUUCGGGGAAAGUAGAGACAGGUGGUGCAUGGUUGUCGUCAGCUCGUGUCGUGAGAUGUUGGGUUAAGUCCCGCAGCGAGCGCAACCCCUAUUGUUAGUUGCUACGCAAGAGCACUCUAGCGAGACUGCCGUUGACAAAACGGAGGAAGGUGGGGACGACGUCAAAUCAUCAUGCCCCUUAUGUCCUGGGCUACACACGUAAUACAAUGGCGGUCAACAGAGGGAUGCAAAGCCGUGAGGCAGAGCGAACCCCUAAAAGCCGUCUCAGUUCGGAUCGUAGGCUGCAACUCGCCUACGUGAAGUCGGAAUCGCUAGUAAUCGCGGAUCAGAAUGCCGCGGUGAAUACGUUCCCGGGCCUUGUACACACCGCCCGUCACACCAUGAGAGUCGGGAACACCCGAAGCCCGUAGCCUAACUGCAAAGAGGGCGCGGUCGAAGGUGGGUUCGAUAAUUGGGGUG